RNAcentral lists this ribosomal RNA (340 nucleotides) under uncultured bacterium. RNAcentral's name for it is "bacterial SSU rRNA". It matches the Rfam family "Bacterial small subunit ribosomal RNA", at positions 32 to 335 of the family's 1533-position model. The record is from RNAcentral.
GACGAAACGCUGGCGGCGUGCCGUAAUACAUGCAAGUCGAGCGAGCGGAACCAACAGGAUUUACGUUCGGUAAGUGACGUUGGGAAAGCGAGCGGCGGAUGGGUGAGUAACACGUGGGGAACCUGCCCCUAAGUCUGGGAUACCAUUUGGAAACUGGUGCUAAUACCGGAUAAUAAAGCAGAUCGCAUGAUCAGCUUUUGAAAGGCGGCGUAAGCUGUCGCUAAGGGAUGGCCCCGCGGUGCAUUAGCUAGUUGGCGGGGUAACGGCCCACCAAGGCGACGAUCAGUAGCCGACCUGAGAGGGUGACCGGCCACAUUGGGGACUGAGACACGGCCCCAAA